CAGCCGCCACUGGAAUACGGAGGGUGCAAGCGUUAAUCGGAAUUACUGGGCGUAAAGCGCACGCAGGCGGUCUGUCAAGUCAGAUGUGAAAUCCCCGGGCUUAACCUGGGAACUGCAUUUGAAACUGGCAGGCUAGAGUCUUGUAGAGGGGGGUAGAAUUCCAGGUGUAGCGGUGAAAUGCGUAGAGAUCUGGAGGAAUACCGGUGGCGAAGGCGGCCCCCUGGACAAAGACUGACGCUCAGGUGCGAAAGCGUGGGGAGCAAACAGGAUUAGAUACCCGGGUAGUCCCUGUCUCUUAUAC
RNAcentral lists this ribosomal RNA (301 nucleotides) under uncultured bacterium. Its description in RNAcentral is "partial 16S ribosomal RNA". It matches the Rfam family "Bacterial small subunit ribosomal RNA", at positions 509 to 807 of the family's 1533-position model. The record is from RNAcentral.